RNAcentral lists this ribosomal RNA (468 nucleotides) under uncultured bacterium. RNAcentral's name for it is "partial 16S ribosomal RNA". It matches the Rfam family "Bacterial small subunit ribosomal RNA", at positions 28 to 507 of the family's 1533-position model. The record is from RNAcentral.
GACGAACGCUGGCGGCGUGCUUAACACAUGCAAGUCGAACGGAAAGGCCCGGCAGUUGCGGGGGGCUCGAGUGGCGAUCGGGUCAGUAACACGUGUGUAACCUGCCCUUGACUUUGGGAGGACUUUAGGAAACUGGGGCUAAUACCGGAUAGGAGCUCCCGCUGCAGGGUGGGCGUUGGACAGAUUCGGCGGUUGGGGAUGGACUCGCCGACUAUCAGCUUGUUGGUUGGGUAGUGGCUUACCAAGGCUUGGACGGGUAGGCGGCCUGGGAGGGUCAGCCGCCACAUUGGGCCUGAGAUGAGGCCCAGCCUCGACUGGGACGGAGGGGUGGAGAAGAGUACAUAAUGGGAGGAAGCCUGAUGCAGCACAGCCGCGCGGGGGAUGACGGGCUUCGGGUUGUAAACCGCUUUCGUCUGGGACGAAGCGUGAGUGACGGUAACGGGUAAAGAAGCCCCGGCUAACUACGUG